This is a non-coding RNA of Pangasianodon gigas (Mekong giant catfish), 73 nucleotides long. The record is from the annotation of a GenBank genome assembly. NCBI's taxonomy places the organism in Eukaryota, Metazoa, Chordata, Actinopteri, Siluriformes, Pangasiidae.
AGCAGAGUGGUACAGCAGGUAGCAUUGCUGCCUCACAGCUCCAGGGUCCCCAGUUCAAUCCUGAGCUCAGCUU